RNAcentral lists this transfer RNA (26 nucleotides) under Lemmus lemmus (Norway lemming). RNAcentral's name for it is "partial tRNA-Pro". The record is from RNAcentral. Lineage: Eukaryota; Metazoa; Chordata; Mammalia; Rodentia; Cricetidae. RNAcentral also lists the same sequence under 1 other name.
UGAUAUUCUAUUUAAACUACUUCCUG